GUCUACGGCCAUACCACCCUGGACAAGCCCGAUCCCGUCUGAUCGUGGAAGCUAAGCAGGGUCGGGCCUGGAGAGUACUUGGAUGGGGGGGACCACCUAGGAAGACCAGGUGCUGUAGGCG
RNAcentral lists this ribosomal RNA (121 nucleotides) under Pteropus alecto (black flying fox). The record is from RNAcentral. Lineage: Eukaryota; Metazoa; Chordata; Mammalia; Chiroptera; Pteropodidae.